Molecule: ribosomal RNA, 465 nt
Filed under: Vreelandella stevensii
Lineage: Bacteria; Pseudomonadati; Pseudomonadota; Gammaproteobacteria; Oceanospirillales; Halomonadaceae
Description: partial 16S ribosomal RNA
Rfam family: Bacterial small subunit ribosomal RNA
Source: RNAcentral
CCUACGGGGGGCAGCAGUGGGGAAUAUUGGACAAUGGGGGCAACCCUGAUCCAGCCAUGCCGCGUGUGUGAAGAAGGCCCCCGGGUUGUAAAGCACUUUCAGUGAGGAAGAACGCCUGGUGGUUAAUACCCAUCAGGAAAGACAUCACUCACAGAAGAAGCACCGGCUAACUCCGUGCCAGCAGCCGCGGUAAUACGGAGGGUGCGAGCGUUAAUCGGAAUUACUGGGCGUAAAGCGCGCGUAGGUGGCUUGAUAAGCCGGUUGUGAAAGCCCCGGGCUCAACCUGGGAACGGCAUCCGGAACUGUCAAGCUAGAGUGCAGGAGAGGAAGGUAGAAUUCCCGGUGUAGCGGUGAAAUGCGUAGAGAUCGGGAGGAAUACCAGUGGCGAAGGCGGCCUUCUGGACUGACACUGACACUGAGGUGCGAAAGCGUGGGUAGCAAACAGGAUUAGAUACCCUUGUAGUC